CUGCAACUCGCCUGCAUGAAGUCGGAAUCGCUAGUAAUCGCGAGUCAGCAUAUCGCGGUGAAUACGUUCCCGGGUCUUGUACACACCGCCCGUCACACCACAAAGUUGGCAACACCCGAAGCCGAUGGGCUAACCGCAAGGGGGCAGUCGUCUAAGGUGGGGUCGAUGAUUGGGGUGAAGUCGUAACAAGGUAGC
Molecule: ribosomal RNA, 195 nt
Filed under: uncultured bacterium
Lineage: Bacteria
Description: partial 16S ribosomal RNA
Rfam family: Bacterial small subunit ribosomal RNA
Source: RNAcentral